AUUAGUGGCGAACGGGUGAGUAACACGUGGGCAAUCUGCCCUGCACUCUGGGACAAGCCCUGGAAACGGGGUCUAAUACCGGAUAUGACCGUCUGCCGCAUGGUGGAUGGUGUAAAGCUCCGGCGGUGCAUGAUGAGCCCGCGGCCUAUCAGCUUGUUGGUGAGGUAGUGGCUCACCAAGGCGACGACGGGUAGCCGGCCUGAGAGGGCGACCGGCCACACUGGGACUGAGACACGGCCCAGACUCCUACGGGAGGCAGCAGUGGGGAAUAUUGCACAAUGGGCGAAAGCCUGAUGCAGCGACGCCGCGUGAGGGAUGACGGCCUUCGGGUUGUAAACCUCUUUCAGCAGGGAAGAAGCGAAAGUGACGGUACCUGCAGAAGAAGCGCCGGCUAACUACGUGCCAGCAGCCGCGGUAAUACGUAGGGCGCAAGCGUUGUCCGGAAUUAUUGGGCGUAAAGAGCUCGUAGGCGGCUUGUCACGUCAGUUGUGAAAGCCCGGGGCUUAACCCCGGGUCUGCAGUCGAUACGGGCAGGCUAGAGUUCGGUAGGGGAGAUCGGAAUUCCUGGUGUAGCGGUGAAAUGCGCAGAUAUCAGGAGGAACACCGGUGGCGAAGGCGGAUCUCUGGGCCGAUACUGACGCUGAGGAGCGAAAGCGUG
Molecule: ribosomal RNA, 658 nt
Filed under: Streptomyces sp.
Lineage: Bacteria; Bacillati; Actinomycetota; Actinomycetes; Kitasatosporales; Streptomycetaceae
Description: bacterial SSU rRNA
Rfam family: Bacterial small subunit ribosomal RNA
Source: RNAcentral